RNAcentral lists this long non-coding RNA (1040 nucleotides) under Macaca mulatta (Rhesus monkey). RNAcentral's name for it is "lncRNA (ENSMMUG00000061533.1)". The record is from RNAcentral. Lineage: Eukaryota; Metazoa; Chordata; Mammalia; Primates; Cercopithecidae.
AGUGAAGAGAACAGGUGUGAAGAGAGUAUAAGAGAGUAUGAAGAAGCAAGGUGUGCGGGCAGGACUCACGCCACCCUGUGCGAACCAGGACCCAGCAGAAUCUGGAGGACAGAACAAGAACCCCGCCAGCUCAGGCCAAACUCCUGCUUCACAGGGCAGGAGGCGGCCUCAUGAGGCCUUGUGGCAGCGCAGACCCCAAGAGGCCAAGAGAUGGAGCUCUCCAGUGUCCACACUUGCAGCUGAGGGCAGGGCUGCCUGUGUGAAACUUGAGCUCCUCUCCUGCCUCCCUCGGACUCUGAGCUCUCCUCCUGCUGGGCUUGAUUUGGAUGCAGAUACAGGAGAGGGUGAACAGCAGAAGCUUUCGUGAGAAGAGCAAAGUGACAGGGUCAAGACGCAGCCAAAGGCAAAAUUAGCGGUGACCCCACAAAAUGUCAAUAGGAAGACAAACGAAGAACACGGAAAAACUCCUCCCAGGAAGUGAUUCUUCCCUGAGACUUGGUGCCUAGUGAUCCUUGGGACGGAUCUACCCGGAGUCACAAAGAAAGGAAAUGUUCCUGAAAUUCACGUACAAUAAUAAGACUAUGUUUUAGCUUCUGUGGUGGGGUUCAUCCAAUUCUGCCUGCCGUUCUGGUCCUUUUCAAAAUUCAUCUGGUAAUGUAAUGCUCAGAGUUCUUAGAGUAAAAGACCCCUAGAUUAAGGUAGCAUUGAUUGAGAAACACCAAUUUGGCAAAUAAACAUCGUUCAUGUGUCAUAGCAGCUAUUAUCUAAGGGAAAACAAAUUAUAACAAGAAACAAACGAACGAAAUUCAUGAUAAAUAAAACUUUGCUAUUUUAGCUUUACCGCAGCAACGUAGAAGUCACAGCAGGAAAGAGAUAUUGGAAAUUUCUCCCUGGUGCCUACAAUUGAUAUUUUGUAUAUAAGCCUCUUGGGAGCUAUAUUUUUGGUUCACAAGUUACCUCAAAUGAGUAGCAAAUAAGCCACGGUUCUGUCAAGGGUGAAUGUAUUCAAUGUGACUUAAAUAAUCCAUUUCAAAAUGCAG